Molecule: ribosomal RNA, 302 nt
Filed under: uncultured bacterium
Lineage: Bacteria
Description: partial 16S ribosomal RNA
Rfam family: Bacterial small subunit ribosomal RNA
Source: RNAcentral
GCAGCAGCCGCGGUAAUACGGAGGGGGCUAGCGUUGUUCGGAAUUACUGGGCGUAAAGCGCACGUAGGCGGCUUUGUAAGUUAGAGGUGAAAGCCCGGGGCUCAACCCCGGAAUUGCCUUUAAGACUGCAGGGCUAGCAGGUGAGAGAGGUGAGUGGAAUUCCGAGUGUAGAGGUGAAAUUCGUAGAUAUUCGGAAGAACACCAGUGGCGAAGGCAAUCCCCUGGGCCUGUACUGACGCUCAUGCACGAAAGCGUGGGGAGCAAACAGGAUUAGAUACCCCCGUAGUCCCUGUCUCUUAUAC